RNAcentral lists this long non-coding RNA (256 nucleotides) under Mytilus galloprovincialis (Mediterranean mussel). The record is from RNAcentral. Lineage: Eukaryota; Metazoa; Mollusca; Bivalvia; Mytilida; Mytilidae.
CACAAAAAUGUGUUGUUUAUGUAUUCAAUUAACCAUGCUUUAUUCUAUGUAGAUGUUCUAUUCAGAAGAUUUUUCAAUAGUUUUGCAUUCAUGAAUUAUGUAUAAGUCCUAUGUACAUGUAGCAUCUCAAUUAACCGUCCUACGGCCAAAACCCGAAAAACAAACCAUUUUCUGCAUAAAAGGGUCCCAAAAUUUUUCGCCUCGCUUCGCUCGGCGGUAAAUGCUUGCACAUCGUUUCAUUCUAGCUACGCCCCUG